This 459-nucleotide ribosomal RNA is filed under the name Anaplasma centrale. Its description in RNAcentral is "bacterial SSU rRNA". It matches the Rfam family "Bacterial small subunit ribosomal RNA", at positions 15 to 502 of the family's 1533-position model. The record is from RNAcentral. Lineage: Bacteria; Pseudomonadati; Pseudomonadota; Alphaproteobacteria; Rickettsiales; Anaplasmataceae.
GAUCCUGGUUCAGAACGAACGCUGGCGGCAAGCUUAACACAUGCAAGUCGAACGGACCAUACGCGCAGCUUGCUGCGUGUAUGGUUAGUGGCAGACGGGUGAGUAAUGCAUAGGAAUCUACCUAGUAGUAUAGGAUAGCCACUAGAAAUGGUGGGUAAUACUGUAUAAUCCCUGCGGGGGAAAGAUUUAUCGCUAUUAGAUGAGCCUAUGUCAGAUUAGCUAGUUGGUGGGGUAAUGGCCUACCAAGGCGGUGAUCUGUAGCUGGUCUGAGAGGAUGAUCAGCCACACUGGAACUGAGACACGGUCCAGACUCCUACGGGAGGCAGCAGUGGGGAAUAUUGGACAAUGGGCGCAAGCCUGAUCCAGCUAUGCCGCGUGAGUGAGGAAGGCCUUAGGGUUGUAAAACUCUUUCAGUAGGGAAGAUAAUGACGGUACCUACAGAAGAAGUCCCGGCAAACU